Molecule: long non-coding RNA, 214 nt
Filed under: Prunus persica (peach)
Lineage: Eukaryota; Viridiplantae; Streptophyta; Magnoliopsida; Rosales; Rosaceae
Description: long non-coding RNA (PPER_LNC000919)
Source: RNAcentral
UGGUUGCAGAAUUUAGGCGCAAACAAAUAAUAAUCUUACAAGUGUACAAGAUAUAAAUAAAACUUUAUCACUCUCAACUAAUCCAACUUCUCUAAUUUAGUCUUUAUCUUGCCCACUAAUUGAUCUGAAAAACAAAAUAGGUGAGGAUUGAGAAAACCAUCGCUUAGUGAGUAGAUUAUGUAAUAUGCCAGUCAAGCAAUGUCAUUUUACCCUC